GCAAGCUACUAAGUGCGAUCGGUGGAUGCCUUGGCACCAAGAGCCGAUGAAGGACGUUGUAACCUGCGAUAAGCCUAGGGGAGUUGGUAAACGAGCUGUGAUCCUGGGAUGUCCGAAUGGGGUAACCUUGAAUGUCCGGAGUUAUGUCCGGUGACUUCUGCCUGAAUGUAUAGGGUAGUUGGAGGGAACGCGGGGAAGUGAAACAUCUUAGUACCCGUAGGAAGAGAAAACAAUAGUGAUUCCGUGAGUAGUGGCGAGCGAAAGUGGAUGAGGCUAAACCUAUACCGUGUGAUAGCUGACAGGUGUUGCGGUGUGGGGGUUGUGGGAUGUUGUGUGGCCUGGCUGUUGACGGGUCGUGGAGUGAUAAAUGGUGGGUGAAGUUGAACAGGUUGGAAAGCCUGAGCGUAGUGGGUGAUACUCCCGUAGGCGUAUGUCUGCCACUUCAUUGCAAUAUUUUUCCCAAGUAGCACGGGACUCGUGGAAUUUCGUGUGAAUCUGGCAGGACCAUCUGCUAAGCCUAAAUACUCCUUGGUGACCGAUAGUGGAUGAGUACCGUGAGGGAAUGGUGAAAAGUACCCCGGGAGGGGAGUGAAAUAGUACCUGAAACCGGGCGCUUACAAGCCGUCAGAGCCUUCCGCACCUUGUGUGUGGGGGUGGUGGCGUGCCUUUUGAAGAAUGAGCCUGCGAGUCAGUGGCGUGUCGCGAGGUUAACCCGUGUGGGGUAGCCGUAGCGAGAGCGAGUCCGAAUAGGGCGAUGUGUAGUGGCGCGUUCUGGACCCGAAGCGGGGUGAUCUACCCAUGGCCAGGUUGAAGCACGUGUAAGAGCGUGUGGAGGACCGAACCCACCUAGGUUGAAAACUGGGGGGAUGAGCUGUGGGUAGGGGUGAAAGGCCAAUCAAACUCCGUGAUAGCUGGUUCUCCCCGAAAUGCAUUUAGGUGCAGCGUCGCAUAGUGUGCUUGUUGGAGGUAGAGCUACUGGUUGGUUGAGCGGGACGAUAAUCUUAGCAACAUCAGCUAAACUCCGAAUGCCAGCAAUGUGGGUGCGGCAGUGAGACUGCGGGGGAUAAGCUCCGUUGGUCGAGAGGGAAACAGCCCAGAUCGUCGGUUAAGGCCCCUAAGGGUGUGCUCAGUGGGAAAGGAUGUGGGAUCGCGAAGACAGCCAGGAGGUUGGCUUAGAAGCAGCCAUCCUUGAAAGAGUGCGUAAUAGCUCACUGGUCAAGUGAUUCUGCGCCGAUAAUGUAGCGGGGCUCAAGUACACCGCCGAAGUUGUGGCAAUCAGUCCUUGUGGCUGGUUGGGUAGGGGAGCGUCCUGCAUGAGGUGAAGCUGCCACGGGAGUGUGUGGUGGAUUGUGUGGGAGUGAGAAUGCAGGCAUGAGUAGCGAAUCACGGGUGAGAAACCCGUGCGCCGGAUGAUCAAGGGUUCCAGGGUCAAGUUAAUCUGCCCUGGGUUAGUCGGGGCCUAAGGCGAGGCCGACAGGCGUAGUCGAUGGAUAACGGGUUGAUAUUCCCGUACCAGUGAAGAACCGUCCAUACUGAUAUUGUGAUGCUAACCAUGCCGAACACGGUGUCAUGAAGUUUUCUUUGUGGUGUUGUGGGGUGUGUGGGACCCAGGCUUUGGAGGUAAGCGUGUUAACAGGUGUGACGCAGGAAGGUAGCCAAGCCACGCGGUGGUUGUCGUGGUCUAAGCGUGUAGGAUGACUGGUUGUUAAAUGCGCCGGUUGUGUGUCUGAGACGUGAUGGGACCCCUUGUUUGUGGGGGAUUUGGUGAUCCUAUGCUGCCGAGAAAAGCAUCGGCGUGAGGUUUUAGCUGCCCGUACCCGAAACCGACACAGGUGAUCAGGUAGAGAAUACUAAGGCGAUCGAGAGAAUCAUGGUUAAGGAACUCGGCAAAAUGCCCCCGUAACUUCGGGAGAAGGGGGGCCCUGAGCGUGAUCUGCCCGUGCGGUGGGGAGCGUGUAGGGGUCGCAGAGACCAGGGGGAAGCGACUGUUUAUCAAAAACACAGGUCCGUGCGAAGUCGUAAGACGAGGUAUACGGACUGACUCCUGCCCGGUGCUGGAAGGUUAAGAGGAUUGGUUAGCCCUGUGUGGGCGAAGCUGAGAAUUUAAGCCCCAGUAAACGGCGGUGGUAACUAUAACCAUCCUAAGGUAGCGAAAUUCCUUGUCGGGUAAGUUCCGACCUGCACGAAUGGAGUAACGAUUUGGGCGCUGUCUCCACCACGAACUCGGUGAAAUUGCAUUACGAGUAAAGAUGCUCGUUACGCGCAGCAGGACGGAAAGACCCCGGGACCUUUACUAUAGUUUGGUAUUGGUGAUCGGUGUGACUUGUGUAGGAUAGGUGGGAGACUGUGAAGCUGGGACGCUAGUUCUGGUGGAGUCGUCGUUGAAAUACCACUCUGGUUACUCUGGUUAUCUAACCUAGGGCCAUGAUCUGGUUCAGGGACAGUGCCUGAUGGGUAGUUUGACUGGGGCGGUCGCCUCCUAAAAGGUAACGGAGGCGCCCAAAGGUUCCCUCAGCCUGGUUGGCAAUCAGGUGUUGAGUGUAAGUGCACAAGGGAGCUUGACUGUGAGAGUGGCGACUCGAGCAGGGACGAAAGUCGGGACUAGUGAUCCGGCAGUGGCUUGUGGAAGCGCUGUCGCUCAACGGAUAAAAGGUACCUCGGGGAUAACAGGCUGAUCUUGCCCAAGAGUCCAUAUCGACGGCAUGGUUUGGCACCUCGAUGUCGGCUCGUCGCAUCCUGGGGCUGGAGUCGGUCCCAAGGGUUGGGCUGUUCGCCCAUUAAAGCGGCACGCGAGCUGGGUUUAGAACGUCGUGAGACAGUUCGGUCCCUAUCCGCUGCGCGCGUAGGAGUCUUGAGAAGGGCUGUCUCUAGUACGAGAGGACCGGGACGGACUAACCUCUGGUGUGCCAGUUGUUCCACCAGGAGCACUGCUGGUUAGCUACGUUGGGAAGUGAUAACCGCUGAAAGCAUCUAAGCGGGAAGCACGCUUCAAGAUGAGGGCUCCCACAGAAACAAUCUGGUAAGGCCCCCCACAGACCAUGGGGUCGAUAGGUCGGACGUGGAAGCGUAGUAAUACGUGAAGCUGACCGAUACUAAUAGGCCGAGGGCUUACCACAC
RNAcentral lists this ribosomal RNA (3117 nucleotides) under human metagenome. RNAcentral describes it as "bacterial LSU rRNA". It matches the Rfam family "Bacterial large subunit ribosomal RNA". The record is from RNAcentral.